This 1174-nucleotide long non-coding RNA is filed under the name Anser cygnoides (Swan goose). RNAcentral's name for it is "lncRNA (ENSACDG00005013847.1)". The record is from RNAcentral. Lineage: Eukaryota; Metazoa; Chordata; Aves; Anseriformes; Anatidae.
AACCCUCUGGAUUUACGGCAAGUCCCUGCCAGGCAGAGCUCCCUGCAGCACAGCACGUGGGAAGUCUUGUCACGGGGGCCAUGUGAAACGACUGGCAGGCCCAUAGCUGGGGGAUCCUCUUGCACAUAAACUUGCAGAAGAAAUGAAAGUACAGCUUUCUCAAGUUGGAUCUGAAAGCAUUAAUUUCUCCAAAACUCCGGGGAAACCAGCCACAAUUGCUGGUUAUUGCACUAGGUAUUUGCAGACAGGUUGGAGGCUUCCAGGAACCGACUUCCUCUGGGUGAAUUAGGGAAAGUGGAAACUGAAAAGCCCAGGUCUGCCUCAGUUGAACUACAAUUCCUUUAUCUUUAUUUUUCGCACUUUUUUUUUUUCUUCAGGGGAGGAGCCAAGCCUCUAUGCCCUGGCUUCUCCCUACCUCAGCUGAGCCCUUGUUGAGCGCUGCCUCCUUUAGGGUGAGCUCUGUGGUGCUUUUGUGCCUUGUAGCUGUGCUCGUUCCCACCUGCUGCUCCAUAGCACCUGUGUGUUAAAGGCUUGUCCCUUAGGCUACUGGAAGCAGAGCUGUAGCUAUAAAAAGUCUGAGCUAGAAGCAAGUAGCAUGGUAAUUGAGUUCACAGGAUUCAUAGGAUCCUGGAAUCACAGAAUGGUUUGGGUUGGAAGGGACCUUAAAGACCAUCUAAUUUAAAUCCCCAUGCCAUGGGCAGGGACACCUCCUGCUAGACCAGGUUGCCCAAAGCUCCAUCCAGCCUGGCCAGUUAUUUUUAUCAAGCUUGUCAUUGGAACUGUGGAACGCAGACAUGUCAGAGGUCUGGAGACCAGAAGGGAAGUCAGAGGUGCUGCUGUUCCAGCUGAUGACUCUAUAGAAGUCCGUGGAGAAGCGUCCUGCUCUCAUGCAAGGGAACGCAGACACAGCAGCCAUGAGCAGACACUGGCCUUGCACCUCCCGCUCGCACCCCACGUCCGUGACACCAGGUACCAGGAGGAACACCACCACAUGGAGGACACCGCAUCUGUUCUCUCAAGGCACCUCAAGUCAUGCUUGACUUGGAGCCUGGGACUCAACUUCUUCGCCUCCAGCAGAGGAGUGUUAUUUGGUUUGAUACCAUUCGUGUAUUUUUUUGCACAGAUAAGGUCUUUUUUUGCAGCUGCCCCAAAACACCGCUUCCUCUGGAGAUGA